UCUUGGCCUUGAGCUGUUUGUCUAGC
RNAcentral lists this non-coding RNA (26 nucleotides) under Mus musculus (house mouse). The record is from RNAcentral. Lineage: Eukaryota; Metazoa; Chordata; Mammalia; Rodentia; Muridae.